RNAcentral lists this ribosomal RNA (253 nucleotides) under uncultured bacterium. Its description in RNAcentral is "partial 16S ribosomal RNA". It matches the Rfam family "Bacterial small subunit ribosomal RNA", at positions 524 to 776 of the family's 1533-position model. The record is from RNAcentral.
UACAGGGGGUGCAAGCGUUGUUCGGAAUUACUGGGCGUAAAGGGCGCGUAGGCGGUUUAGUAAGUCAGAUGUGAAAGCCCGGGGCUCAACUCCGGAAUUGCAUUUGAAACUGCUAGGCUAGAGUGCAGUAGAGGAUGGCGGAAUACCCAGUGGAGAGGUGAAAUUCGUAGAUAUUGGGUGGAACACCGGUGGCGAAGGCGGCCAUCUGGGCUGUAACUGACGCUGAGGCGCGAGAGCGUGGGGAGCAAACAGG